AUUCAAUUCUCAUAAUUCUCCUGACAACAUUCUCUCCAAGCCUCAGUUCUCUCCUUCAAAAUCAUUAUGAUUAUUCCCAUUUUUCAGAUAAGGAGCCUGAGUCCCAGAGAGCAGAAAUGACUUCAUAACUUCACAUGGCCACUAGGAGGCAGAGCCCAGACUUGAACCUAAGCUCAGUUCCAAGUGCCACCUAACACUUGAACUCUGAUCCUGGGGAACCAAGACACAAUAGGGAGGCCAUAAAAACUGUGGAAUGAAUCAGUGAACAAAUAAAUCCUAUUUCUAAAGA
This is a long non-coding RNA of Homo sapiens (human), 289 nucleotides long. The record is from Ensembl. NCBI's taxonomy places the organism in Eukaryota, Metazoa, Chordata, Mammalia, Primates, Hominidae.